This 586-nucleotide ribosomal RNA is filed under the name uncultured bacterium. RNAcentral's name for it is "partial 16S ribosomal RNA". It matches the Rfam family "Bacterial small subunit ribosomal RNA", at positions 355 to 1375 of the family's 1533-position model. The record is from RNAcentral.
UGGGGAAUUUUGGACAAUGGGCGAAAGCCUGAUCCAGCAAUGCCGCGUGUGUGAAGAAGGCCUUCGGGUUGUAAAGCACUUUUGUCCGGAAAGAAAUCCUUGGCUCUAAUACAGUCGGGGGAUGACGGUACCGGAAGAAUAAGCACCGGCUAACUACGUGCCAGCAGCCGCGGUAAUACGUAGGGUGCAAGCGUUAAUCGGAAUUACUGGGCGUAAAGCUGCGCAGGCGGUUUGCUAAGACCGAUGUGAAAUCCCCGGGGCUCAACCUGGGAACUGCAUUGGUGACUGGCAGGCUAGAGUAUGGCAGAGGGGGGUAGAAUUCCACGUGUAGCAGUGAAAUGCGUAGAGAUGUGGAGGAAUACCGAUGGCGAAGGCAGCCCCCUGGGCCAAUACUGACGCUCAUGCACGAAAGCGUGGGGAGCAAAACAGGAUUAGAUACCCUGGUAGUCCACGCCCUAAACGAUGUCAACUAGUUGUUGGGGGAUUCAUUUCCUUAGUAACGUAGCUAACGCGUGAAGUUGACCGCCUGGGGAGUACGUCGCAAGAUUAAAACUCAAAGGAAUUGACGGGGUCAUAGCUGUUUCCU